GUUUGGGGCUGGGGGCGGGGACGCUGCGCGCACCGAGCAGGGCGCGGGCGGCGGGGCGGGGCGGGGCGACCCGGGAAUCUCUGUACCCGCCGCGCGAGCGGGGAGCCCAGGCCGGGGAAAAGGCAGGAAGCGCCGACUUCAGACGCCUCCCGCAGACGAGCAACGCAGUGUGGCCACGGGCCCCCGCUCCCAGGUCGGCGCCGACCACGGAGGGCGAGCAGACGGGGCGCAGCGGCUGCUUCUAGGCUCCAGGAAGGGGAGCGGAGCCGCCCGGACGGCCCGUCACCUGCUCCGACCGCCGCUGCAGAGGGCUCUCCCCACCAAGGGACUGGGGCCGCGGCCCGGAACGGGACCUGCGAGUUUCGGCCGCCGCCUGCCAAGAUUUGGAGCCACGAACAUGCUCCCCAGAAUCAAGCGAAGAAUUUGUUAAACCGGGUUUCCCACCUGCGCCCCCAUCCCAGCGAAGAACGCUCGAUUCUAGGGACGCCAGCCGCCCGAGCACAGCCACCCCACGUUCCCAGGCGGGCACAUUGUUAAGAUCAGCGGGCCUUCGUACAAACAUCUUGACUGUGGCUGGUAAUGAAGAUGAGUCUCCUGUCUGUGGGGCGCCUGGUUAGCCACCACUAUGCCCAGUCCACCCCGUCCACCCUGCUACAAGCGGAGGCCAAGAACCGGGUAGCGUGCGCCGCGAGAGGGGGUUGUAUGGGCUGGAGCCACCUGGCUGGCCCUUUCAGGAUUUGUGGCCUUGAGCUGGGCCCUGGUGCUGGAGGUCGGGGAAGUGGAAGGAAGACGGUCUGGCCAGAGAAUGGAAGAACCAUAGGUUCCCUGGGAGCUGUACUUAGGGGACAGUAUGCCCCCGAGAGGCAGUAACCAGUAGUAGUUUUCAGAUGCCUCGAGCUCAGGGACGAACUCUCUUCUCCUGACCCCUCCGGGCUAGCUGCUCAGGGUAGACCCACUCUCUUCCGGAAGGUGGGGGAUGACAGUGAGGGAAUCACUUGCCGUUUGCUUGGCCCAAGGCUCAGACUCUCAGGGUUGACUUUUAAGUUAGUUUCAUAUGAGCUGAGGGGCCUACUUUCAAAAAGGAAGCACCAGACCAUUGGCCUCAACAUUUGAGCAGGAAACAUCAGAGUAGAAAGGGAUUUUGAAAACAGUGUAAAGUUACCUUGAGAAACCAUUCAUUUCAGUACAUUUGUCAGAGGAUACUUUGCUGGUCUUUCAACCCUUAAUGAUCCACGGUGAGAGUUUCAUGGAGUAUGCAAGACAUUGCUCUCCAAUCUGAGUGAAAUUCCAGCUGUGGCCCUGGAAGCCAUGUGGAGAUGUGGGUGCAUUCCUUCAGCUACAGGCACAGAAGCCAGUUCACUUGGCCACUGAAGGUCCUGUUUCCGUGUGAUGUGGAGCCUGAUGAAUAUGUGGCCUCCCCUCUAGGAAUACGCCUGGGCUGCCUUUGCACACACUUACUUCAGCUGGCCUUGAACUCAAAGAUAAUCGCUUCUGUAACAAGCGAAUCACAGCCUCUCCUCCCUGUGCAAACAAGAGAACUAGAUUAGCCCUGAGCUAACAUCCACUGCCAAUCCUGCUCUAUUUGCUGAGGAAGACUGGCCCUGAGCUGACAUCUGUGCCCAUCUUCCUCUACUUUAUAUAUGUGGGAUGCCUGCCACAGCAUAGCUUGCCAAGGGGUUCAUAGGUCCACGUCUGGGAUUUGAACCGGCAAACCCCAGGCUGCCCAAACGGAGCACGCAAACGUAACUGCUGCACCACCGGGCCAGCCCCUUUUUUAC
Molecule: long non-coding RNA, 1778 nt
Organism: Equus caballus (horse)
Lineage: Eukaryota; Metazoa; Chordata; Mammalia; Perissodactyla; Equidae
Source: Ensembl